UUUUGUUUCCUUAUUUAUUAAUUUACUUUUUCUUUCUCUUGGCAGGUUUUUAUAGUUUAUGACUAGAAGAAACCCGUCAGGACCCCUACUUUUUGACGAAGAAAUCGAUCGAAUAGUUUGUAGAAAUCAAAGAGAAAUAAGGCAUAGUUUACGAUACACAGAAAACGAACAAGAAGACAAUACUCAACCUCCAACUGACGAGAUGGCUGAAAACCAAGACAAUUAGCUGCCUCCUGCAAUUGUAGCUAACCAAAAUCCUGCUCCACGUACUAUGUAUGACUAU
This 283-nucleotide long non-coding RNA is filed under the name Gossypium barbadense (sea-island cotton). Its description in RNAcentral is "long non-coding RNA (GBAR_LNC008074)". The record is from RNAcentral. Lineage: Eukaryota; Viridiplantae; Streptophyta; Magnoliopsida; Malvales; Malvaceae.